This 500-nucleotide ribosomal RNA is filed under the name uncultured bacterium. Its description in RNAcentral is "bacterial SSU rRNA". It matches the Rfam family "Bacterial small subunit ribosomal RNA", at positions 29 to 517 of the family's 1533-position model. The record is from RNAcentral.
AGUGAACGCUGGCGGCAGGCCUAAUACAUGCAAGUCGAACGGCAGCACGGCAGAGCUUGCUCUGUGGGUGGCGAGUGGCGGACGGGUGAGGAAUACAUGGGAAUCUGCCCAGUCGUGGGGGAUAACGUAGGGAAACUUACGCUAAUACCGCAUGCGCCCUUCGGGGAAAGCCGGGACCGUUCGGGCCUGGCGCGAUUGGAUGAGUCCAUGUCGGAUUAGCUAGUUGGCGGGGUAAUGGCCCACCAAGGCGACGAUCCGUAGCUGGUCUGAGAGGAUGAUCAGCCACACUGGAACUGAGACACGGUCCAGACUCCUACGGGAGGCAGCAGUAGGGAAUAUUGGACAAUGGGCGCAAGCCUGAUCCAGCCAUGCCGCGUGAGUGAAGAAGGCCCUCGGGUUGUAAAGCUCUUUUGUCCGGAAAGAAAAGACGCCGGGUUAAUACCCUGGUGUCCUGACGGUACCGGAAGAAUAAGCACCGGCUAACUUCGUGCCAGCAGCCG